UGUCCAGUACAUCGUUCUCUAACAUGUACCUAUGCAUUGACUUAAUAUCUCAUAUAUUUAUGACCAAUGAGAUUUGGUCAUCAGUCAAUCCACAUACUAGUCUCAAUGCAUCAUUGUUGUCCCAUCAACAAUAAUACUCGACUAGGGACAUUUAAGAACACUGAUACUAAUGGUAAUAUAUAAUCUCAUGUUUCAGUCACAUACUUGAAACUAUAUAAUUUGUAUCACUAUUCUAAGGAAUUUUAUUAUGUUAACAAUUAUAUUACGCAGUAAAUAAAACCAUAAUAAAAUC
Molecule: long non-coding RNA, 292 nt
Filed under: Panax ginseng (ginseng)
Lineage: Eukaryota; Viridiplantae; Streptophyta; Magnoliopsida; Apiales; Araliaceae
Description: long non-coding RNA (PGIN_LNC014620)
Source: RNAcentral